AACGUAGGUGGCGAGCGUUAUCCGGAUUUACUGGGCGUAAAGGGUGUGCAGGCGGGGCAGCAAGUGGUGUAUGAAAGCCUUCGGCUCAACCGGGGGCGGUUAUGCCAGACUGCUGAACUAGAGUUCGGGAGAGGGACGUGGAAUUCCGGGUGUAGUGGUGAAAUGCGUAGAGAUCCGGAGGAACCCCAGAGGCGAAGGCGGCGUCCUGGCCCGCAACUGACGCUCAGACACGACAGCAUGGGGAG
Molecule: ribosomal RNA, 245 nt
Filed under: uncultured bacterium
Lineage: Bacteria
Description: partial 16S ribosomal RNA
Rfam family: Bacterial small subunit ribosomal RNA
Source: RNAcentral